This 245-nucleotide unclassified non-coding RNA is filed under the name uncultured fungus. Its description in RNAcentral is "sequence contains ITS1". The record is from RNAcentral. Lineage: Eukaryota; Fungi.
UUGAUUCAUUCGCCCACCGCUGUCGCGGGGAGAAGAGUCCACUCAGAGGGGUGCCACCUGUCAAUGCAGUAGGAAGAGUUUCCUCCGGGGGUCCUGCGGCGGGCGCCUUGGUGUCCGGGGCGCCGCGCUGGGGCGGCGCCGCCGGGGCGAGUCCUCGCCGAGGCAACGUUGAGGUUAAGGUUCACAUGGGGGUUUGGGAGUUUGUAAACUCGGUAAUGAUCCCUCCGCUGGUUCACCAACGGAGA